Molecule: ribosomal RNA, 250 nt
Filed under: uncultured bacterium
Lineage: Bacteria
Description: partial 16S ribosomal RNA
Rfam family: Bacterial small subunit ribosomal RNA
Source: RNAcentral
UAAGGAAUAUUGGUCAAUGGAGGGAACUCUGAACCAGCCAUGCCGCGUGAAGGAAGAAGGCGCUACGCGUUGUAAACUUCUUUUGGGUGGGACGAAAAUAAUCCAUUUAUGGAUAGCUGACGGUACCAUCAGAAUAAGCACCGGCUAACUCCGUGCCAGCAGCCGCGGUAAUACGGAGGGUGCGAGCGUUAUCCGGAAUCACUGGGUUUAAAGGGUGCGUAGGUGGCUUAAUAAGUCAGCUGUGAAAUGU